Molecule: long non-coding RNA, 3826 nt
Filed under: Mytilus galloprovincialis (Mediterranean mussel)
Lineage: Eukaryota; Metazoa; Mollusca; Bivalvia; Mytilida; Mytilidae
Source: RNAcentral
AAAAUGAAUGUCGUCAAAGGAGUGAUAUUAUCAUAGAAACUUAAGGAAUAUCAGGUCUAGGUGACAACUAUAGGUAAGAUACAAAUUCAGAUUUAUGGCUAGAACGGCUUAAAUUGUGUUAUUUUUAUUUAUUAGAUUAGAUGAUACCGAUUUAAAAUAAAUCACUAAUGUUGAUUUAAUAAUGCGAACAUAUAUUGAAAUAUAGUGUGGAAUCGCAUUGCCAUAUUAUUCCGAAUGUAUACAAAAAAGUAAAAUCACAAAGAUACUGAACUCCGAGGAAAAUUUCAACGGAAAGACCCUAAUCACAUGGCAAAAUUAAUUGACAAAACACAUCAAACGAUGGGACAACAACUAUCAUAAUCCUGACUUGGUAUAGGGAAAUUUCAAUAAAUGAAAUGAAAUUUAGUUUGUGGUGAUUAUGUACUUUCUGGAAAGGAUGAACGCCAUAUAUACGCAAAUAUUACCCCCAAAUUCAUUAGAAGAUAUAAGAUUUAGACAUAACGGCCAUGUCAUAUUUAGAUGUGCAGAUGUUUGAAGACGAAUGAUUAUUUUGUCAAAUAGUUUCAAAUUGGGAGGUGUUUUCGAAAAUGAUUAAGACUGACGAACGUCUGGCAAUGAAUGACAUAUCUGGGAAAAUCUCAAAUCGACCCCGCUGCAUGUCAAUCACAUAUACCAAAGACAGCUUUUUUUUAAAGAAGUAAGUAUUUAUAUUGUAUUUCGUGAUAAUGACACUAACUGUUAUAUCAACUGUUCUGUUUAUAUGACUUUCUUACUGUAGAAAUGUUUUGAAUUAAUGCAGAUGUUUGUACAAUGUUAACAGUUUAUUUACGGUAUCGAAACACCUUUAAUAAGUACGAUUAUUUUUUAUAAGAAAGUAGAAAAAUAAGGCGUGAACACUGACAUGAGAUGAUUGCAUGAAGAAUACUUACAAAAGAAGGAGUUUAUUAUUAUUUAAAUUAAUCUUGGAUGCGUGUCUAUUGUUUUUGGGUUAAUUAGUAUGCCUGCACUUUAACGUAUACUAUUACUUUAAAUGCUAUGUUUUAUCAAACUAUUAUACACUGAAAGGAGUCAAAUGUUUGUUUGGUAAAGUCGGUCAGUAAAACUAUUGAAGUGAUAAUAUGAUAAUAUCAUUCAUUUUUAACACCUAUAAACGUGUAAAUUCUUCUUAAAUAUUUCCUGUUUACAACUACAUUGGUCGUCAACUGAACAGGCUUAGGGAUCCUGUUUGAUCAACAAUUAGUUUCCAACAUAUUUCCAAAUUUGGAAACCAUCUAACUCUAUACAUGAAAAUCAACCUAAUUAGUAAUCAAUAGGUUACACUAAGCGUUUGUAUUGUACAAACCACACAUAAUAGAUUUAAAUUAUUAUAACAGUGUUUAAUAUUUGUACAUGUCAAAAUAUGUUAUUAUUUUGUAGAAGAAAUCACUUAAACAAUUUUUAUUUAGAAAAAGAUAAGAACGUGUACGAAUAAUCAUUCUACCUGCGCUAUUUGAUGUUUAAAACAAUUCAGUGCAUUGAUCUAGUAGUGAAAUUUAACUACUCAUGUAAGUCUUAAAGACUCCAAACAUUUUGACAGGGGUGAUAAUGGUGGCACGAUAGUAUUUUCUGGUUUAUUGGCAUAAUGGUAGCUUUUAGAAUGUUCAUCUCUUUCUAACACUGCUCAAAAUUCUUCAUAUACAGUUAACUGCAGUACUUUCGAUAUCAUAUAUUAUGACCGUUUACAGUUUGGGCUACUUUUAGAAACCUAAGGAUUGUUUUACUUUGUGUUGAGUGUUCUUGUGUUUGUUAGCUUCGAGCAUAAUGAAAGAGACACUUAUUGUAGAAAUAGGUAUCUUGUAAAGACAGAUUGGUAACUUUAGUGUUUAGUUUAGUUUUUUUUGUUUUUUUGAACACGAUUGAAUUUUCAUGACCACUUUUGAUUUUGAAUAUCAUUUUGGUAUAUUUCACCGCUCUUUCUUGCACCUUCUUACUGAUUUGACGUAAGAGAUCAUCGAUAGGUUUGACUGUUUGUGAUGCUUAGUAUUUGUACUGUUUUGUAUACUUUCCGCCUUUUCUUCAUAUUUCCUUUCCACCAUGAUAUGACUUUUAGGAGUUUUGAAUGUUCGAUGGAUAUUUUUCGCCUCUACUUUAAAUGAAACUCAACUCAUCAUAGAUACCUAACAUAACAUCGGGUACGCAUGGCGCUCGUUUCGUCUCCAUGAGACUAAUCAGUGGCGCAAGAUUAAAAAAGGCAUAGUCGAGACAGUGUUUUUAGAUAUUUAUCUGCUGAUUCAAGAAUGUUAUUAGUAAAAUAGUCAAUUUCAAUAAAUUGAGAGAAGAAAAAACUCCGUGCUGCAUGUUAAACCCAAGGGAAAAACAUCUCCUUUAAGAGGAAUACCUAAGAGCAACAGAAAAACUGAAGUGCAACAAUUUUUUAUAACAAAUGCCAUAUUUCUGACUUGGUACAGUACAUUUGAAAACAAAAAUGGUGGGUUGAACCUGGGUUAAUGGCUAACCAAAUCUGCCGCUUAUAUGGCAAUGUUAAAAAAUAUCGUUAAAAUUACAACAUUAUGUGACAGAAAUACAGCACAAACAAACGCAAGAAUACACAUCACAAAGAAACGCACAAAUACGUAAUAUAAUGGUCGUUAUCACAUGAAAACCACAAAAUAACAACGAAUAUCUUCAAUUGACGACAGACAACACAGGACAUCACAAACAGUGAAGUAUUUUAGUAAGGAAUAUUUAAUCUGGAAAUCUAUACAAUAAAUGUAAAAGGUAUUUUCACGAUACUGGUUCAAACAAUUAUAAUGGUAUAGAAUAAACUGAUAAGUGUUUUUUAUCAAUACAUCUUAGAUCUUUUUAAAGCGAUAGUUUGUGGUUAAAUUUCAAAAAAUGUCAAGCGGUCUUGUGUCAUUUAACAUUUCCAAAAACAUUCUUUAUUUUUCAUCAUUUCUUUAUGUUUUAUACUUUUCAUACAAUAAUACAAAAGUGAUUCAAAUUUCGAUAUGGUUGCUUUUGAUUUUUUUUUACAUAUGAUACGAUCGAAUGCAUAAUACGCAUAAAUAUGGACCACUUGAAUAUAAGUAGGUAUUUAAUAAACAAAGAUGUUUGAACUUCAUGACGCAAGCGGGACGGGAUGAAUGCAUUAUUAAAACAUCGCGCGUUAUCAAAAUUGCCUAUUUCAUAUUAAUGAUUUAUCGUGUUUUCAUUGCAAAUUGGAACCUAACUCUUAUAAUCUAUGAAUCCAAAAAUAAGGAAGAAAAUACAAUCGUGUAAUAUAGCUUCAAUUUUACAAAUGCUUUAUCUUACAUAUCUGUCGCUGUUAUUAUCAUGUUACAAAAGAUGGUAUAACUAUCAAGUUUUGGUUCUUUAUCUUUUGUAUGAGUUAAAUACCCAACAUACAUUACGCUUAAACAUCGAGAUAGUAUUGUCACAAUAAAGUAUUCCGCAAUGAAGUUAAUAUUUUGAAUAAAGAUGUGGCAUAAAUCUGAAUUCUGUGAUUAAUAGUUGAUAGAAAGUCAUCAUUUGAACUAAUUUACCUGGCUUAUGUUAAUACUAGUACUAUUGUUUUAGGUACAAAAGUAUGUCAUCAGAUAUUCUUUGCGGACCCUGUGGUCGUACCGACAAACAUGGAAAUGCACAAGAAUGGUGCUACAAUUGCAUGGAAGGUUUUUGUCAUGACUGCGAGCAGGUUCACAAAUACCGGAAUGUCACUCGAGAUCACAAAUUAAUACCAAUUGACGACUUUCAUGAAAUAGAAAAUGAUCGUGUCAAUAUAAAAUGUGAUAAACAUGAAAAAGUGUUUUACCACCUUUAUUGUAAAACACACGACGUGGCUUUCUGU